This is a long non-coding RNA of Brassica napus (rape), 1449 nucleotides long. RefSeq lists it as uncharacterized. Lineage: Eukaryota; Viridiplantae; Streptophyta; Magnoliopsida; Brassicales; Brassicaceae. The transcript has 2 exons. The record is from RefSeq and is a predicted model, not a curated record.
AACCUUAUAUUUUUAUAUAAUGUAUCGUAAUAACUAUUAAUGUCUAAUAAAUUUCAUGCAUGCUUUAUAAAUCGUUUAUAAAAUUAUAAAUAAAUUUAUAAAAUUAUUUAUAUUGGCUUAUCAGAUGUUUACAUAUCAUUAAACCUUUUCUUAACUCCAUCCUCUUUCCUCCUCUGAAAACCCAUCUUCUUAAACUUCAGCUGAAUCCAAACGUCUUUAACGCCAUUGUUAAACGUCUUUGAACUUUGAUGUGUUCAUCAAAGUUAUUGAGGGUCGUUUUCAGUAACCGAGAAUGCCAAUCGAUGAUUACGAGAAUUCUGCGAAAUCAAGCCUAAGAAAAAAAAAACGUGGUAUUUCAUAUAAUACCUUUUUCUGGCAUGCUCUGUUUCUUUUAAAGCAUCUAAGUACUUUGUUCCGUAUACCCAACAAAGGGGUUUGGUUUUAUCUUGAAGAACUGGAACAAUGCUCUUUGGGAAGAGUAUUUCAUCUUAUGCGACAAGUUUGAUUCUGCAAGUAAUUUACUUUAUUUGGUGUCACUAAUUUGUACAAUACGAUUUUCUUUUAUAUACCAGUCUUAAACUUUUAACCCACAUAAUUCCAUAUAAAUAGUGAGAAAGAAUCUAAAACAUUAAUGGGUUUUAAUAUGAUUCCUAUAAUGAUAACUUUUUGAAAUUGAAGUAUAAAAGGUGAAAAUUUUGAAGUUCAGUUGUGGUUUAAGAGAUAUGUUUAAAUGUUCUCUUGGAGUAUAUAUAUAAUCGUAUACCAAAUGUUUAUGUUCUGGAACAGAUAAUCAAAUCUGUAUUGGUUUUGGUGAGGGAGCUGGUGGACCAGAGGAGGGAGAUAUGCAAAAGACUGCCAUGGGUGAAGCCUCUGCUUAAAGAGCAGUUCUUUGUUCACUGCAAGUUUCAUGUACUCUCACAAGGGUGAUUGCAAUAUGUAUUACUUAGACUGCACCAGUGGCGAGCUUUGCUCUCUUUGUCUUUUCCAUCGCAAAGACCAUCCAAUCCAAUGUGUCCAUAUGAUGAAGGAAAAUUGAAUAUGGAUCUUGAGGUUUGAAUGAUAAGUGUCUGCAUUCAGCUUGGUUUUGAGAACCAAUCAGACACUGUCAUACUUCUGUGCAAAUGUCUUCGUCAAGAUAUCAGUAGGAGAUGGAUCACAAAGGAGGACAAGGAAUCUGAAGUUUGGCAGUAUAAUCUAGGAUGAUGCAAAGGAUCUUUCUGAUUUUGUUCUCUUUCUUCUCUUAACAUGUUAGUCGGAUAACGUCGUUCCUAUGAUGAGUAUUGUAUGAUUAUAAGUGAUAACAUUUACUUGGGAUAAUGUUUUUUUCCUUCUCGCUUUAUACUUUCUGUAAAGUUAUGACGUUCAGUUGUACCAAGUACCAACUACGGAAGAUGUUAAAAGGAAGGAGUGGUGUGGUAGAUGUCAUGAAUAACAACCUUAAUAGAACUC